RNAcentral lists this transfer RNA (87 nucleotides) under Gammaproteobacteria bacterium. RNAcentral's name for it is "tRNA-Leu". It matches the Rfam family "tRNA". From Rfam's summary of the family: Transfer RNA (tRNA) molecules are approximately 80 nucleotides in length. Their secondary structure includes four short double-helical elements and three loops (D, anti-codon, and T loops). Lineage: Bacteria; Pseudomonadati; Pseudomonadota; Gammaproteobacteria. The record is from RNAcentral.
GCCGGUGUGGCGAAACUCGGAAAACGCGCUGAACUUAAAAUUCAGUUCCCAAGUGGAUUGCCGGUUCGAGUCCGGCCAUCGGCACCA